AUAUAACUAGGCGGAGGAAAAGAAACUAACCAGGAUUACCUCAGUAACGGCGAGUGAAGCGGUAAAAGCUCAAAUUUAAAAUCUGGCGGUCCCCGGCUGUCCGAGUUGUAAUCUAGAGAAGUGUUAUCCGCGCUGGACCGUGUACAAGUCUCCUGGAAUGGAGCGUCAUAGAGGGUGAGAAUCCCGUCUUUGACACAGACUGCCAGGGCUUUGUGAUGCGCUCUCAAAGAGUCGAGUUGUUUGGGAAUGCAGCUCAAAAUGGGUGGUAAAUUCCAUCUAAAGCUAAAUAUUGGCGAGAGACCGAUAGCGCACAAGUA
Molecule: ribosomal RNA, 317 nt
Filed under: uncultured Tricholomataceae
Lineage: Eukaryota; Fungi; Basidiomycota; Agaricomycetes; Agaricales; Tricholomataceae
Description: partial large subunit ribosomal RNA
Rfam family: Eukaryotic large subunit ribosomal RNA
Source: RNAcentral